Oreochromis niloticus (Nile tilapia) is the source of this 1656-nucleotide long non-coding RNA. RefSeq lists it as uncharacterized. The transcript has 3 exons. The record is from RefSeq and is a predicted model, not a curated record. NCBI's taxonomy places the organism in Eukaryota, Metazoa, Chordata, Actinopteri, Cichliformes, Cichlidae.
AGGGAGAGAGAAGAGUGCGAGCUAACUUCACUCAGAGAUGAAGAAAGAUGUAGAAAAACAGGACAGGUUAGAUUAAAAGAUGUGUUCCCAACUCUGCCAACAAGAGCUCAAACUGCCCGCUGACACCCUGAAAUAUGUAUGAAAGCGAUCGUGAUACACCUUCCACUCCUGGAUCAACUCCUGAGAAAUUCUCCCAAGAGGUCAAGCAGAGCACACCAUAUGGUCCUCAAUGGAGAUAAGACACCCAGAGAAUCAGAGAGCAGAGGAUCUCCUCUACAGAUCCACCCAUGAAUAAUAACUACAUAAUUCAUUCAGAUGCACAUACCCUCACCCCACAACAACAGAAUUCCCUGUUGAACUGCUAAUACUAUCAGCACCUCUAUAACUCCUACUUAAUUGAGCUAAUACGACUGGCACAGUGUGAAAAUAACCUGACCUUUGUUCACUCAUUCUUACCUACAUUGUUUGUGUGUGAUUUCCAUUAGCACCUGCACGACGUUAUGCCGAAGACCACAUUCACCCACCUGAUCAUGAAGAUGAUCUGCGUGAAAUAUUCAAACCUCCCAGAGCCAAUUAGGGUAAUGGGGGUGUAUUUGCAUAUUUAGACGGAAGGGGGAAAGAUAAAGGGAGAAGGAACAGAUGAAGGGCUGGAGGGAUGGAGGAAUGAGGAAGAAAAGAUAAAAAGAAAGAAAAACAUCAUUGGAAGGUUCAUAAAAAUCUUUGCAGGCUUCUGGCUGUGUCUGUUCAUUGACUGUUACAACCAAAGCUGUCAUCACAUUACCAACGGCACUGCAAUAUCUGAGAGGAUUAAUACAGAAAAAUACACAAAAUACACAAAAAUAACUUUUAAAAAAGACUGGUUUGUUAAAUGCAAUUGAUAUUAUUUAAUGUAUUGAAUGAAGGCUGGAAAAAUUUGGCAGAUUGAACAGUUUGAUCUGUUUCAUGACCUUUUAUCAAGGUUAUAGGCUUGCUUCUUGAUUUUACACAAACAUCAGUGGUUUUCUGUUUAAACUAAGUUACAUUACUUGAUAUAUCUUAGUCAACAAUUUAGUCAGACGAGUUAUACAUAAGAUAAAAGUAAACUUAAACUCCUAGUUAGUGAGAGACUAUGCAUUCUUUGAGCAUCAUAGCAAGCAGACAGUUUGUUGAGUUGAAGAACAUAAGAUACACAGAAGUUAGAGAAUUAAAACCUUCAGGUACUUUUAGAAAAAGAAGUAAAAUACUUUUAUUUUGAAGACAUUGCAAUUAUUCAGCAAAGAGAUGAUUUCAAAUGAAAUGACCUUUGCAGCACAUGUAUGAUCCUUCAAACUGCUUUCAUCAUGUUAUUGAUUGUAUUGGUUCUGCGCUGGAGACAUUUCAACAGGAACAGCCUUUAUCUGGUUCAAUGAAACGGCCCUGCUAUUGAGCGCAUAGGCUCUCUGUUACAUUGUCAGAACAAACUGAGACGUUUAAGCCGAACUGAACCGUCAUUAAAGGUGAAAUAUGUAACGCUUGUCAGCUUCUUUUUUUUGAAACACAACUUUAAGGUGGAGAGAUAAAAUGUCUUGAUGUAUGCUCAAUCAUCCAGGUAAGUAAAGGGAAAGCCCAUCUCUGAAUCGAGGAGGGGGCCUAAGGAUACAUCUUUCACCAUCUUACAAUGCUGUGUGAGUGACAAAA